Molecule: non-coding RNA, 75 nt
Filed under: bovine gut metagenome
Description: TPP riboswitch (THI element)
Rfam family: TPP riboswitch aptamer (THI element) (bases 4-69)
About the family: Vitamin B(1) in its active form thiamin pyrophosphate (TPP) is an essential coenzyme that is synthesised by coupling of pyrimidine and thiazole moieties in bacteria. The previously detected thiamin-regulatory element, thi box was extended, resulting in a new, highly conserved RNA secondary structure, the THI element, which is widely distributed in eubacteria and also occurs in some archaea.
Source: RNAcentral
UGAAAGGGGUGCCCUUAGGGCUGAGAUUAGACCCGUUGAACCUGAUGCAGUUAGUACUGCCGUAGGGAUGUAGGA